This 200-nucleotide ribosomal RNA is filed under the name uncultured eukaryote. Its description in RNAcentral is "partial 18S ribosomal RNA". It matches the Rfam family "Eukaryotic small subunit ribosomal RNA", at positions 588 to 795 of the family's 1831-position model. The record is from RNAcentral.
GCUCCAAUAGCGUAUAUUUAAGUUGCUGCAGUUAAAAAGCUCGUAGUUGGAUUUCGGGUGGGGCCUGCCGGUCCGCCGUUUCGGUGUGCACUGGUCGGGCCACCUUGUUGCCGGGGACGGGCUCCUGGGCUUCACUGUCCGGGACUCGGAGUCGGCGAAGACACUUUGAGCAAAAUAGAGUGUUCAAGCAGGCCUACGCU